This 73-nucleotide transfer RNA is filed under the name Vicugna pacos (alpaca). RNAcentral describes it as "tRNA-Ala (AGC) (tRNA-Ala-AGC-324-1)". It matches the Rfam family "tRNA". From Rfam's summary of the family: Transfer RNA (tRNA) molecules are approximately 80 nucleotides in length. Their secondary structure includes four short double-helical elements and three loops (D, anti-codon, and T loops). Lineage: Eukaryota; Metazoa; Chordata; Mammalia; Artiodactyla; Camelidae. The record is from RNAcentral.
GGUGGGUAUAGCUCAGUGGUAGAGUGUAUGCUUAGCAUGCACAAGGUCCUGGGUUCAAUCCCCAGUACCUCCA